AUUGAACGCUGGCGGCAUGCCUAACACAUGCAAGUCGAACGGAGAUAGGGGCAACCUUAUUUCAGUGGCGGACGGGUGAGGAAUGCGUCGGAAUCUGCCCUAUGGUGGGGAUAACACAGGGAAACUUGUGCUAAUACCGCAUAAUGUCGAGAGACCAAAGCAGGGGACCGCAAGGCCUUGCGCGAUAGGAUGAGCCGACGCCCGAUUAGCUUGUUGGUAGGGUAAUGGCCUACCAAGGCGACGAUCGGUAGCUGGUCUGAGAGGAUGAUCAGCCACACUGGGACUGAGACACGGGCCCAGACUCCUACGGGAGGCAGCAGGUGGGAAUAUGGACAAGUGGGCGCAAG
RNAcentral lists this ribosomal RNA (347 nucleotides) under uncultured bacterium. RNAcentral's name for it is "bacterial SSU rRNA". It matches the Rfam family "Bacterial small subunit ribosomal RNA", at positions 30 to 381 of the family's 1533-position model. The record is from RNAcentral.